RNAcentral lists this ribosomal RNA (457 nucleotides) under uncultured bacterium. Its description in RNAcentral is "bacterial SSU rRNA". It matches the Rfam family "Bacterial small subunit ribosomal RNA", at positions 50 to 507 of the family's 1533-position model. The record is from RNAcentral.
AAUACAUGCAAGUCAACUUGACUUUAGAUAGCAAUAUCGAAAAGUAGGGUGGCGCACGGGUGCGUAACGCGUAGGUAAUCUGCCCUGAGGUCUGACAUAACCCGUCGAAAGGCGGGCUAACAUCAGAUGAUAUAUAAUCACGACAUCGUGGAAAUAUCAAAUCUUCGGAGCCUUGGGAUGAGCCUGCGUCUGAUUAGGUAGUUGGCGGAGUAAUAGCCCACCAAGCCUACGAUCAGUAGCUGGUCUGAGAGGAUGAUCAGCCACACUGGAACUGAGACACGGUCCAGACUCCUACGGGAGGCAGCAGUAAGGAAUAUUGCUCAAUGGGGGAAACCCUGAAGCAGCAACGCCGCGUGAAGGAUGAAAUACUUUGUAUGUAAACUUCUGUAAGAUGGGAAAAAUAUUCUCCUCGGGAGAAUUGAUUGUACCAUCAGAGUAAGCCCCGGCUAACUACGUG